UCAUUACAGAGUUAUCCACUCCCAACCCAUGUGAACAUAUCUCUUUGUUGCCUCGGCGCAAGCUACCCGGGACCUCGCGCCCCGGGCGGCCCGCCGGCGGACAAACCAAACUCUGUUAUCUUCGUUGAUUAUCUGAGUGUCUUAUUUAAUAAGUCAAAACUUUCAACAACGGAUCUCUUGGUUCUGGCAUCGAUGAAGAACGCAGCGAAAUGCGAUAAGUAAUGUGAAUUGCAGAAUUCAGUGAAUCAUCGAAUCUUUGAACGCACAUUGCGCCCAUUAGUAUUCUAGUGGGCAUGCCUGUUCGAGCGUCAUUUCAACCCCUAAGCACAGCUUAUUGUUGGGCGUCUACGUCUGUAGUGCCUCAAAGACAUUGGCGGAGCGGCAGCAGUCCUCUGAGCGUAGUAAUUCUUUAUCUCGCUUCUGUUAGGCGCUGCCCCCCCGGCCGUAAAACCCCCAAUUUUUUCUGGUUGACCUCGGAUCAGGUAGGAAUACCCGCUGAACUUAAGCAUAUCAAUAAGCGGAGGA
This 525-nucleotide ribosomal RNA is filed under the name ascomycete sp. CCN8. RNAcentral's name for it is "eukaryotic LSU rRNA". The stretch from base 158 to 311 matches the Rfam family "5.8S ribosomal RNA". Lineage: Eukaryota; Fungi; Ascomycota. The record is from RNAcentral.